GAAACCCGGGCUAAUACCGGAUAAGACCACGGUUCUAACGUUUCGUGGGAAAAGUGGGGGACCUCUUCGGAGGCCUCAUGCCUGGAGAUGAGCCCGCGGCCCAUCAGCUUGUUGGCGAGGUAAUGGCUCACCAAGGCUAAGACGGGUAGCUGGUCUGAGAGGAUGAUCAGUCACACUGGAACUGAGACACGGUCCAGACUCCUACGGGAGGCAGCAGUGGGGAAUUUUGCGCAAUGGGCGAAAGCCUGACGCAGCAACGCCGCGUGAGUGAUGAAGGUCUUCGGAUCGUAAAGCUCUGUCGGCAGGAACGAUGCAAAUACUGGUUAAUAGCCAGUGAUUGUGACGGUACCUGCAAAGGAAGCACCGGCUAACUCUGUGCCAGCAGCCGCGGUAAGACAGAGGGUGCAAGCGUUGUUCGGAAUUAUUGGGCGUAAAGCGCACGUAGGCGGCUAGGUAAGUCGGAUGUGAAAGCCCAGGGCUCAACCGUGGAAGUGCAUCCGAAACUGCUUGGCUUGAGUGCCGGA
Molecule: ribosomal RNA, 524 nt
Filed under: uncultured bacterium
Lineage: Bacteria
Description: bacterial SSU rRNA
Rfam family: Bacterial small subunit ribosomal RNA
Source: RNAcentral